Molecule: ribosomal RNA, 460 nt
Filed under: uncultured bacterium
Lineage: Bacteria
Description: partial 16S ribosomal RNA
Rfam family: Bacterial small subunit ribosomal RNA
Source: RNAcentral
CCUACGGGGGGCUGCAGUGAGGAAUAUUGGUCAAUGGACGAGAGUCUGAACCAGCCAAGUAGCGUGAAGGAUGACUGCCCUAUGGGUUGUAAACUUCUUUUAUAUGGGAAUAAAACGUUCCACGUGUGGGAUUUUGUAUGUACCAUAUGAAUAAGGAUCGGCUAACUCCGUGCCAGCAGCCGCGGUAAUACGGAGGAUCCGAGCGUUAGCCGGAUUUAUUGGGUUUAAAGGGAGCGUAGGUGGAUUGUUAAGUCAGUUGUGAAAGUUUGGGGCUCAACCGUAAAAUUGCAGUUGAAACUGGCAGUCUAGAGUACAGUAGAGGUGGGCGGAAUUCGAGGUGUAGCGGUGAAAUGCUUAGAUAUGACGAAGAACUCCGAUUGCGAAGGCAGUUCACUGGACUGCAACUGACACUGAGGCUCGAAAGUGUGGGUAUCAAACAGGAUUAGAUACCCUUGUAGUC